ACUGGGCACGGUGGCACAGCUACUCGGGAGGCUGAGGUGGGAGGAUAGCUUGAGCCCAGGAGUUCUGGGCUGUAGUGUGCUAUGCUGAUUGGGUGACCUCACUAAAUUCAGCAUCAGUAUGGUGACCUCCUGGGAGCGUGUGACCACUAGGUUGCCUAAGGAGGUGUGAACUGUCCCAGGUCAGAAAUGGAGCAGGUCAAAACUCCUGUGCUGAUCAGUAGGGGGAUCACGUCUGUGAAUAGCUACUGCACUCCAGCCUGGGCAACAUAGCGAGACUCCGUCUCUA
Molecule: unclassified non-coding RNA, 286 nt
Organism: Callithrix jacchus (white-tufted-ear marmoset)
Lineage: Eukaryota; Metazoa; Chordata; Mammalia; Primates; Cebidae
Rfam family: Metazoan signal recognition particle RNA
About the family: The signal recognition particle (SRP) is a universally conserved ribonucleoprotein. It is involved in the co-translational targeting of proteins to membranes.
Source: Ensembl